ACCAAGGCGACGAUACAUAGGGGGACUGAGAGGUUAACCCCCCCACAUUGGUACUGAGACACGGACCAAACUCCUACGGGAGGCAGCAG
Molecule: ribosomal RNA, 89 nt
Filed under: uncultured bacterium
Lineage: Bacteria
Description: partial 16S ribosomal RNA
Rfam family: Bacterial small subunit ribosomal RNA
Source: RNAcentral